GAUGAACGCUGGCGGCGUGCCUAAUACAUGCAAGUCGAGCGAACGGACGAGAAGCUUGUUCCUCUGAUGUUAGCGGCGGACGGGUGAGUAACACGUGGAUAACCUACCUAUAAGACUGGGAUAACUUCGGGAAACCGGAGCUAAUACCGGAUAAUAUUUUGAACCGCAUGGUUCAAAAGUGAAAGACGGUCUUGCUGUCACUUAUAGAUGGAUCCGCGCUGCAUUAGCUAGUUGGUAAGGUAACGGCUUACCAAGGCAACGAUGCAUAGCCGACCUGAGAGGGUGAUCGGCCACACUGGAACUGAGACACGGUCCGGACUCCUACGGGAGGCAGCAGUAGGGAAUCUUCCGCAAUGGGCGAAAGCCUGACGGAGCAACGCCGCGUGAGUGAUGAAGGUCUUCGGAUCGUAAAACUCUGUAUUAGGGAAGAACAUAUGUGUAAGUAACUGUGCACAUCUUGACGGUACCUAAUCAGAAAGCCACGGCUAACUACGUG
RNAcentral lists this ribosomal RNA (496 nucleotides) under uncultured bacterium. RNAcentral's name for it is "partial 16S ribosomal RNA". It matches the Rfam family "Bacterial small subunit ribosomal RNA", at positions 28 to 507 of the family's 1533-position model. The record is from RNAcentral.